UGAGGAAUAUUGGGACAAUGGAUGGAAAUCUGAUCCAGCCAUGCCGCGUGCAGGAAGACGGUCCUAUGGAUUGUAAACUGCUUUAGCAUGGGAGCAAUAAGGUGUACGCGUACACCGAUGAGAGUACCAUGAGAAUAAGCACCGGCUAACUCCGUGCCAGCAGCCGCGGUAAUACGGAGGGUGCAAGCGUUAUCCGGAUUUAUUGGGUUUAAAGGGUGCGUAGGCUGUAAGUCAAGUCAGCGGUGAAAGUCGGGGCUAAACCUUGAGGGUGCCGUUGAAACUGAUUGGCUUGAGUACGUACGGGGCAGGCGGAAUGCGUGGUGUAGCGGUGAAAUGCAUAGAUAUCACGCAGAACCCCGAUCGCGAAGGCAGCCUGCCAGGCCGUGACUGACACUGAUGCACGAAAGCGU
This 410-nucleotide ribosomal RNA is filed under the name uncultured Parabacteroides sp. Its description in RNAcentral is "bacterial SSU rRNA". It matches the Rfam family "Bacterial small subunit ribosomal RNA", at positions 355 to 762 of the family's 1533-position model. Lineage: Bacteria; Pseudomonadati; Bacteroidota; Bacteroidia; Bacteroidales; Tannerellaceae. The record is from RNAcentral.